RNAcentral lists this ribosomal RNA (435 nucleotides) under uncultured bacterium. RNAcentral's name for it is "partial 16S ribosomal RNA". It matches the Rfam family "Bacterial small subunit ribosomal RNA", at positions 29 to 507 of the family's 1533-position model. The record is from RNAcentral.
AACGAACGCUGGCGGCAUGCCUAACACAUGCAAGUCGAACGAUUGCCUUCGGGUGAUAGUGGCGCACGGGUGCGUAACGCGUGGGAAUCUGCCCUUAGGUUCGGAAUAACAGCUGGAAACGGCUGCUAAUACCGGAUGAUAUCGCGAGAUCAAAGAUUUAUCGCCUGAGGAUGAGCCCGCGUUGGAUUAGGUAGUUGGUGGGGUAAAGGCCUACCAAGCCGACGAUCCAUAGCUGGUCUGAGAGGAUGAUCAGCCACACUGGGACUGAGACACGGCCCAGACUCCUACGGGAGGCAGGAGUGGGGAAUAUUGGACAAUGGGCGCAAGCCUGAUCCAGCAAUGCCGCGUGAGUGAUGAAGGCCCUAGGGUUGUAAAGCUCUUUUACCCGGGAAGAUAAUGACUGUACCGGGAGAAUAAGCCCCGGCUAACUCCGUG